This 484-nucleotide ribosomal RNA is filed under the name uncultured bacterium. Its description in RNAcentral is "partial 16S ribosomal RNA". It matches the Rfam family "Bacterial small subunit ribosomal RNA", at positions 28 to 507 of the family's 1533-position model. The record is from RNAcentral.
AUUGAACGCUGGCGGCAUGCUUUACACAUGCAAGUCGAACGGCAGCGCGGGCUUCGGCCUGGCGGCGAGUGGCGAACGGGUGAGUAAUGCAUCGGAACGUGCCCAGUAGUGGGGGAUAGCCCGGCGAAAGCCGGAUUAAUACCGCAUACGACCUGAGGGUGAAAGCGGGGGACCGAAAGGCCUCGCGCUAUUGGAGCGGCCGAUGUCGGAUUAGCUAGUUGGUGGGGUAAAGGCUCACCAAGGCGACGAUCCGUAGCUGGUCUGAGAGGACGACCAGCCACACUGGGACUGAGACACGGCCCAGACUCCUACGGGAGGCAGCAGUGGGGAAUUUUGGACAAUGGGGGCAACCCUGAUCCAGCCAUGCCGCGUGCGGGAAGAAGGCCUUCGGGUUGUAAACCGCUUUUGUUCGGGAAGAAAUCCUCUGGGCUAAUACCCCGGGGGGAUGACGGUACCGGAAGAAUAAGCACCGGCUAACUACGUG